Fukomys damarensis (Damara mole-rat) is the source of this 290-nucleotide long non-coding RNA. RefSeq lists it as uncharacterized. The record is from RefSeq and is a predicted model, not a curated record. The transcript is spliced from 3 exons. Lineage: Eukaryota; Metazoa; Chordata; Mammalia; Rodentia; Bathyergidae.
ACCAGGCUGUGGGGUGGAGCGUGCGCAGUAGGCCGAUGCGGCGGGCGUGCCGGUUGUCCAGCGUGCGAAGCCGGAGACACAGGCCCUGUCGCCCGUUUUAGUAAUAAGUGACAUUUGUGCUGUGUUUGCUGGUGCCCGGAGCUGUGAUGCUGUGCUCUGCAGAGAUGCUAAUUGGCUGCAAGCUCAAGAAAGGAGGACCCAGAGGAAGUUCCCAUUAUAAACAAGCCCCAUCACUGGCUGUGGACAUCUUUCACAACAAGAGGAGAUAACUGUGGGCCACUGGCCAAACC